RNAcentral lists this long non-coding RNA (1246 nucleotides) under Macaca fascicularis (crab-eating macaque). Its description in RNAcentral is "lncRNA (ENSMFAG00000059049.1)". The record is from RNAcentral. Lineage: Eukaryota; Metazoa; Chordata; Mammalia; Primates; Cercopithecidae.
AAAACUCCUUUGAAAGAUGGAUUAAUAAACACAUUUGUUGCAUCAAUUUCUGGUUAGUGCUGUUUAAUCUUUAUGAUUCCAGUGUCAAAUUCUCCCCACAACUCUGAUAUAGAAUCAAUUCAUACAUUCAAGUUAAUGGUAGGUAGAAUGCAUAAAAAAUUUGAAACAUGAAGUUGUAAAUGAAAAUUAGGAGUAAAUUUAAAUUUAAAUAUACAUACAUUUUGUAUUUAAAACUUUCAGUACAGUCGUAUACUACGUAAUGACAUUUUGGUCACUGACAGACUGCAUAUAUAAUGUUCCUGAAAGUUUAUAAUUCUGUAUGUUUUUGGUACCUUGUCUCAGUUCAGAUUUGUUUAGAUACAUAAAUACUUGUGUUUUAGUUGCCUGUUGUGUUCAGUACAGUAACAUGCUGCACAGGUUUAUAACCUGGGAGCAAUAGGCUGUACCAUGUAACCUAGGUGUGUAGGAGGCCAUAACGUCUAGGUUUGUGUAAGUGAUGUCUGUGAUGUUCACACAAUGACAGAAUUGCCUAACAGUGCAUUUCUCAGAACAUAUCCCCAUCAUUAAGUGAUGCCUGAUCUGUAUAUUCAAUAUAAUAUAAAUGUAAAUUAGAGCAUUACGUAUGUAUGCUGUAGUGUAGUAGGCAACAGUUGGGUAGCGUCUGGAUCACAGAAAUGUGUCACUUUCUGAGAAUGCCCUGGUACAUGUACAUAGCAGGGGCCUCACUGGCCAUUUUUCUGCCCUGUCAUCUCUUGGCCCUUUUUUAUGGAGCUCUACAAAUCACUGCAGCCUGGAACUGGUUCUUGCCCAUCCUGAGUUUUGGAUGUUCAGUUUCUCCUGAAGUCUACAGUAUUUGUUUUCCAGUGUAUCCCCCUUUUUUGCUUAAACUAGUCAGAAUUGCUUUUUUUGGGCAAAUACUAUUUAAACCUUUUAAAAAGGGGGUCUGGGUAUGGUGGCUCAUGCCUAUAAUCCUAGCAUUUUGGGAGGCUGAGGUGGGCAGAUCACUUGAGGCCAGGAGUUUGAGACCAGCCUGGGCAACAUGGCAAGACCCUGUCUCUACACAACGUACAAAAACUUAGCUGAGUGUGGUGGUGUGCACCUGUUGUCCCAGCUACUUGGAGGGCUGAGGUGGGAGAAUCACUUGAGCCCAGGAGGUCAAGUCUGCCGUGAGCCGUGACCACACAACUGCAUUCCAACCUGGGCAACAGAGUGAGACUCUGUCUCAAAAAAAAAAAAAAAAAAAAAA